This 361-nucleotide small RNA is filed under the name Arabidopsis thaliana (thale cress). RNAcentral's name for it is "ATSL272780". The record is from RNAcentral. Lineage: Eukaryota; Viridiplantae; Streptophyta; Magnoliopsida; Brassicales; Brassicaceae.
AGAGAAAAUUUGACGACUCAAGAUUCCUCCGUCCCCACAGACGGCGCCAAAAUGUGGAUGUCGGAUUGACACACUCAAGUAUUUAUUUAUUUAGUGAAAAUGAUUAUUCUUGAGAACAAAUAUAUGAGAAAAUGAAAUAAUGAUUAUAGAGAAAACUAUGAGUUUUGUAAGAAAAUGUGUAUAGUAAGUUUGCACAAAAAUGUGUGUGUCAUUCCGUGGCCUUUGGCCUAUAAUUUAUACCUAAAAAUUACACUUAACUCUCAUUUACACACAAUUCUUGUAUCUUAAAUGCAUCCGUUUCGGUCUUCGAAAUUAAGGAUCAAACGUUCGAAUUUGAAUUGACUUCGAGCUCCUUGGGCCU